AAAUGUGAACUUAUCCCUUCAUUCUUAAAACCAUGGGAAAUAAAUUAGGUGUGAUGUGUCCCUCUGUGGCCUAAGUGGAAGAGACUGGAUGGAUCUCUACUUUACCUUUCUUUGAUGUCAAGAAAUAUCACUCUCCAUGAAGUUUGCAUUUCAUCUCAUCCCCUUUAUACACACCUUUUAACAGAAUUUCUAAACCAGAAGAUGGAGGAGAGCUCAUGAUGACUGGCUGCUGCCCUUCAGUGUGCUUUAUGAAUUUAACCCUUGGCCUUUGUGGAAGGGCGGGGCUUUAAAGGGGAAUGAGUCAUGUUUUAGACAGAAAAUGAAAUGAGUCUGCAACAAGUACAGGAUGUGAUAAAUUAUUUAUAAGUACAUUUACAGUAGUACUGUUCUAAAAAAAAACUGUUCUAAAAAAUUAGAAACACAACAAAAAAGUAUUUUUCUUUUUCUACACUUAAACGUUUCUAAAAAAUAGUUUUAGCUAAUAUCACAUUAUAGUGUACACAGAAUUAUUAUAUUGAUAAUCUAGGUUCAACACCUAAGUAGAUUUCAUUUGAUGACAAAUAUUUUUUUUCAGGCUGAGCAGCUGUAACCUGUCAGAGGAAGACUGUGAACAUUUGUUGUCAGUCAUCAGCUCGCAGUCCUGUAGUCUGAGAGAGCUGGACCUGAGUACCAACAGCCUGAAUCAUUCAGCAGUAAAGCUUCUGUCUGUUGCAGUGGAGAGUCCACACACCAAACUGAAUAUUCUGAGACUCAACAUCUGUGAAGUCUCAGAGGAAAACUGUAAAGCUCUGUCCUCAGUUCUCAGCUCUCAGUCCUCUAGUCUAAAAGAGCUGGACCUGAGUAUCAAAAGCCUGCAGGAUUCAGGAGUGAAGAUUCUGUCU
Oreochromis niloticus (Nile tilapia) is the source of this 881-nucleotide long non-coding RNA. RefSeq lists it as uncharacterized. The transcript has 3 exons. NCBI's taxonomy places the organism in Eukaryota, Metazoa, Chordata, Actinopteri, Cichliformes, Cichlidae. The record is from RefSeq and is a predicted model, not a curated record.